GAAUAGCAAGCUCGCUUCCAAUCUCCCGUGGGGAGAAAAUCUAUCUCCAGCCUUGUUCAGGCCAAUAACCACAUUAUUUGGAAGACAGUCUCACUGGAAUCACAGUGAUUGGGCCAUGUGGCACGCUGUGGGGCUCAACACAGAAGGGGCUUAGCUCAGUGGCAGAGCAUCUGCCUUGCAUGCAGAAGGCCCAGGUUCAAUCCCUGGCAUCUCCAGGUACCGUUGGUGGUCUUUUAAUAUGCUAUUUUUGCUGUCUGCUUUUACAUGAAUGCCGUGGAGUAGUGCAACUGCACAGACGCAGCACAAACACAAAGGCUUUGAUUUCACCUCUGUCAAUACAGACUGCAUCAAUCAGUUGGUAUCAGAAUACAGUGAACGUGCAACCAACCUAUUGUUCAAUGUAGAUUCUGCAGUUCAGUAGUACAUCUGAUGCACAACCAGCAUUGUGGAUGCAUGCUAGAACAUAUGUUAAUCACUAGUGAUUUGUUGGUUGACACAGAUGUUGAAAAUUG
Long non-coding RNA from Rhineura floridana, 512 nucleotides. RefSeq lists it as uncharacterized. NCBI's taxonomy places the organism in Eukaryota, Metazoa, Chordata, Lepidosauria, Squamata, Rhineuridae. The transcript has 3 exons. The record is from RefSeq and is a predicted model, not a curated record.